AAUGGGGGGAACCCUGAACGAGCAAUGCCGCGUGAGUGAGGAAGGUCUUCGGAUCGUAAAGCUCUGUUGUAAGAGAAAAACGGCACUCAUAGGGAAUGAUGAGUGAGUGAUGGUAUCUUACCAGAAAGUCACGGCUAACUACGUGCCAGCAGCCGCGGUAAUACGUAGGUGGCGAGCGUUAUCCGGAAUGAUUGGGCGUAAAGGGUGCGUAGGUGGCAGAUCAAGUCUGGAGUAAAAGGUAUGGGCUCAACCCGUACUGGCUCUGGAAACUGAUCAGCUAGAGAACAGAAGAGGACGGCGGAACUCCAUGUGUAGCGGUAAAAUGCGUAGAUAUAUGGAAGAACACCGGUGGCGAAGGCGGCCGUCUGGUCUGGAUUCUGACACUGAAGCACGAAAGCGUGGGGAGCAAAUAGGAUUAGAUACCCUAGUAGUCCACGCCGUAAACGAUGAGAACUAGGUGUUGGGGGAAUAACUCAGUGCCGCAGUUAACGCAAUAAGUUCUCCGCCUGGGGAGUAUGCACGCAAGUGUGAAACUCAAAGGAAUUGACGGGGGCCCGCACAAGCGGUGGAGUAUGUGGUUUAAUUCGAAGCAACGCGAAGAACCUUACCAGGCCUUGACAUCCCUUGCAGAGGUAUAGAGAUAUAUCCGAGGUUACCAAGGAGACAGGUGGUGCAUGGUUGUCGUCAGCUCGUGUCGUGAGAUGUUGGGUUAAGUCCCGCAACGAGCGCAACCCUUGUGAUAUGUUACUAACAUUGAGUUGAGGACUCAUAUCAGACUGCCGGUGAUAAACCGGAGGAAGGUGGGGAUGACGUCAAAUCAUCAUGCCCCUUAUGGCCUGGGCUACACACGUACUACAAUGGCGUCUACAAAGAGCGGCAAGCCUGUGAAGGCAAGCGAAUCUCAUAAAGGACGUCUCAGUUCGGAUUGAAGUCUGCAACCCGACUUCAUGAAGCUGGAAUCGCUAGUAAUCGCGAAUCAGCAUGUCGCGGUGAAUACGUUCUCGGGCCUUGUACACACCGCCCGUCAAACCAUGGGAGUUGGUAAUGCCCGAAGCCGGUGGCAUAACCCUUCGGGGAGUGAGCCGUCGAAGGCAGGACCGAUGACUGGGGUUAAGUCGUAACAAGGUAUCCCUACGGGAACGUGGGGAUG
RNAcentral lists this ribosomal RNA (1150 nucleotides) under human gut metagenome. Its description in RNAcentral is "bacterial SSU rRNA". It matches the Rfam family "Bacterial small subunit ribosomal RNA", at positions 370 to 1520 of the family's 1533-position model. The record is from RNAcentral.